Mercenaria mercenaria is the source of this 2393-nucleotide long non-coding RNA. RefSeq lists it as uncharacterized. The transcript has 4 exons. Lineage: Eukaryota; Metazoa; Mollusca; Bivalvia; Venerida; Veneridae. The record is from RefSeq and is a predicted model, not a curated record.
AUGUGACGUCGUCUUUGAAAACCGGUCCAGAUGCGGCAUGACGUAAUAUCGAGAAACGACGUUUAAAGUUGCGCCAAGUUUACGCGCGCAGCUUUCUUACACAUGUUUUAAUUAGCAAAAGUUUGACCGUUUAAGUACGACUGAUUGUUACAUGAUUGAUGACAGCCUACUACAGAAAGAAUAUUUAGACAUCAGACCUGUAAGAAAAUAGUGGUAUUACGCCUGAGGCAAAAAUAAUUUCGUUGAAAAUCAGUUGUUUCCCCUUCGCUAUGUUUCCGGUUUCGGAUUUUAACAGUAAAACAGGGAAGCAUGUGAUGUUUACUUUUGUCUAACUACCUUUUGUUUAACGAUGAAGGGAUCUGAGACUUGUAAUACUGUUUACUGAUUUGAUGAUAUUCCUUGUUCCUUUGAUGGUUCAUUCCACUAUACAGCUGUUUCAUAUAACAUACAACAGCCAGGAAAUUGGUCUGUUUACUUUAAGAUCCCAAGAAAAUGUAACAUAUUUUGGAUGUGCUUUGAGGAAUCAGGAAUGCAAGUGUUUCCUCUUGUUUUUGAAGCAACUCAGUUGGUUAAGGGCAGACAACUUGUGAGCAUGGUACAUCACUACCUGUAUUGGUAUUCCAUUUUGACAAUGUUACUAGCUAGAAUAGAAAUAACAUCUUGCUGUGGUACAGUCUGUGGAGACUUUUACUAGGAUAUCAGAGAUCGAUUGAAUAUUCAACAAUGAUCACAGACCAUGAAAAGUUUGAAUCUGACUUGCACUUUUGAAUUUAGAAGACUCUGUGGAGGAGGUUGAAUGCUGAGACCUUUAAUAAUACAUGAUAUUGCUGACACAGUGUGUCAGUCAUGAAAGAAAGGCCAUAACACUGCACAGUUGGUCAACAAUGAUUUAAAUCCUGUCACAUUCUUCCAGUGAAGAAAUAUCUUAUCACAAUAUUUUAAACUUUUGAAGAAGAUAACCCAGUAUUACCACUUUAUCAUGUCUGCAGAAACACAUGGAUUGUUAGUGUUAAAAGUGACAGUCCAGUUAACUUACUUAAAUCUACUCCCCCUUGCCAAACGAAUAUUAUUGACAUGGAAUGACACAAGCCUGACAAUGGUACCUGUAUGGACUCGUAAGAGAAUAGUAUUUGUCUGAAAAGACAAAGGAUUCUGUUUGUCCCAAACCACUUCAAUUGAAAACUGAAAUUGUGAUUGGCGAUGAUUUUUCUGAGAACUGAAAAAAGGAAGUGAAUGUAAAAGAUAGAAAUUGUUGUUGAAUUCAAACAUUUUAAUACACAGCACUUUAGCCUGUUUUGCUGUUCAUAUAUGUUAAGGUUAAACAUCAAGUAAAGGUUGUAGUUUCAGUUACCAACAUUAAAGUAUUGGCUGGAAAUAAAUAUCUACUUUUCAUCAGAGUUUGUAGCAGUGUAACCUUCAUCAAAAGUUAAGCUGUUGUGUUAAUUAUUAAAGUAUUUUUAGAAAAAGGAAUUUAAUAUGUAUGUUGCCAUGGUUACAUAAUUCAAAUUAUAUUUCAUUGAAAUUAUGGAUUUGUAUUUCAAUAAGUGAUCUACAGUAUAUAAUGUAAUGGUAAAAGAAUGUUCACUUUUUUGUAUUGUAAGUUAUAACUAGCCAGUGAAAAAACAGAUUAUGAGGAAAGGGAUGACUAAAAUGUUUAUUCUUACAUAACUACUUUUGUUACAGAACAUGGCUGUUUUAAAGUUUUUAUGUGAAAUUUUCAGAUUUCUUUCCUGAAUACUUAUACUUUCAAAUAUUUAACUUACUAGAAAUACUUCUUUGAAAUAAGCAGUAUUAUUGUAGGAAAAGGAAAUUUAAAACAUAUGUCGCCAUGGUAACACAAUUUUCCUAGAAAAUAUGGAAAAAUUUUAAUUAGCUGUACUUUCUAGUAUUCUACUUUAAAAUAAGCAUAAACAAUAAAAAAAAUCAAUAGUAAUAUAUGUUUCAUUUACUUCAAAAUAGUUAUUUAUUACAAGCAGGUAAAAGGCAAGUUAUGAAGAAACAAUGACAGAAAUGUCUUAUUCUUAUAGUUAUUACCCAUGUUACAAAAACUGUCAUAAAACCAAACAUCCUUAAUAUUUUCAUGGGAAAUUUUCAGUUUAUUUUUGUAAAUACAUAAUGCCUUAAAAUAUUUUACUUUUUAAAAUCCUUAUUUCAAGCUAACAUGUUUUUUUUAAGGUUUUGUCAUAGAAAAGGGAUUUUAAUAUAUUUGUUGCCAUGGUAACACAAUUUUAGAAAUAUUUUUAUAGAAAUUGUUGUAGAUUUUAAUUGAUUAUCAUUUUGUGUAUUAAGAAUGGGAUCUUACUUAUAUCAUGCAAUUGUAACAAAAGAUAAAUUUAUUUCAGAACUGUUAACCAUUACCAGUAUGUGAGAAAUAAACUAGAAAGAAAGGAUAA